GACGAACGCUGGCGGCGUGCUUAACACAUGCAAGUCGAACGGAAAGGCCCUGCUUUUGUGGGGUGCUCGUGUGGCGAACGGGUGAGUAACACGUGAGUAACCUGCCCUUGACUUUGGGAUAACUUCAGGAAACUGGGGCUAAUACCGGAUAGGAGCUCCUGCUGCAUGGUGGGGGUUGGAAAGUUUCGGCGGUUGGGGAUGGACUCGCGGCUUAUCAGCUUGUUGGUGGGGUAGUGGCUUACCAAGGCUUUGACGGGUAGCCGGCCUGAGAGGGUGACCGGCCACAUUGGGACUGAGAUACGGCCCAGACUCCUAUGGGAGGCAGCAGUGGGGAAUAUUGCACAAUGGGCGGAAGCCUGAUGCAGCAACGCCGCGUGCGGGAUGACGGCCUUCGGGUUGUAAACCGCUUUCGCCUGUGACGAAGCGUGAGUGACGGUAAUGGGUAAAGAAGCACCGGCUAACUACGUG
This 468-nucleotide ribosomal RNA is filed under the name uncultured bacterium. RNAcentral's name for it is "partial 16S ribosomal RNA". It matches the Rfam family "Bacterial small subunit ribosomal RNA", at positions 28 to 507 of the family's 1533-position model. The record is from RNAcentral.